GUAGCUUCCGCUGAUUAUUUCUCCAAACCGAUUAUUCUUCCUCUGUGCCCUAGCUUCUCUUUUGCUGCCGUCAACCAUCGUCUCUCUCGCCGCUUUCGGCACCGAUCGAAUAGUCUCUGGCCAACUUCAGGUACUUCACCAUUAAUGGAGUUUCUGAAUAAAAAAGGCACUCCAUGAAGCAAUUAGCUGAAACAUACCCUUCCGUCGUUCCUUGCUUCGAUCUCCAUCCUUGGUUUGUUAAAGAAUGAAGUCCCAAUUGGUUUAAAACGUUGAGAUAGUAUUUUGAUUCCACACCCUCUACUGCAGUUGAGAGAGUUUUUGCAGAUUGCAACAUUAUCAAUGGCUCUAUUAAGAGCUUUAAAUCUUAUAGCCAGGUAUUGCAUUUGAGUACACAACAAAAUAUGUUUCUAUCAUUCCUCAAUUACUUUUAUUAUAUUGUUGAUUUGCAAAAAUUGUACAUUCAACACUUUAGGUGCAACAUUAAGCUAGUACUUUUCUAUUUAAUAGAAAACAACAUGAUAUUACAUAAUUUAUAUUGUUGGUUCCAACUGCUGAAGCAUUCCUUGAUUCAUGAAUUUAAAUGAAUCAUUCACUUCGAAAUCAUUUCUUAUCUAUAUACACCUGUAGGAUGUUACUUUUUAUUAAUUGGAUUCAGAAUGAUAAUAUACUAAAAAUGAUGUUGCAUGUAAUGAAAUGAAUCUAGAAAAAGAACGAUAAUAAUAAUAAUAACAAAACAAUGACUCUAUUUUGAUGACCUUUAAAUAUGAAAUAGAAUGAAAUAUGUAAAACAAAAAGAUAUAAGUGCAUCAAUACUAUUGCCAUGAACUAUUGGUAGUAAGGAAAUUUGUUCAAUUUUUAUCACUCAUGGACUUUUGAAGAAGUAAAUAUAUGCUAGUAAAUUUCUUAUCAAAGGCUUAUUUCAGAUUUGUGUCCAUUUUGGAUGUUGCCCUCUUAAACCAGUUCAAGUUUGUGUCCAUUUAUUAUUCUAUAAGAGAGUUCAAAAUGAAAAACAUUUUUGUAUGUCUUCUAUUAGUUUCUCAAUUGAGUGAAAGAGUUGAAAAUUACACAAAUUAAUGAAUAUUUGAAGACUCUGAACUUGAUAACAGUUGCGGUCCAUUCACCACGAAAAUUGUAAUCAGCCCGACCAUGGUUAGAUGAUAACAACCCUCCUAGAAUAAUGUCAACAAUUCGGUAACGAUCGUGGUAAGCUCAUCACGGGCGUGGUCAAUUCAUGAGGGUUUUGGUCAACCAAGAGGGUUGUAAUCAAUCCACAACAACCUAAGACUUCAACAUCACUUUCGACAACGACCGUGGUGGAUUCACCAUGACCAUAAUAUGCCUUUUUGUGUAAUUAUCUUUAGGAAGCUAUAUAUAGUGGUCUUUGUCUUUAUAAAGGGCAUUCAAUUUUAUUCUUAUCUUUUUAUGAAUUUGAGAAAACCUUGAGGGCUUUUGAGAGCUGAAGAGCGCGAACAACACUGCUAGGACGGAUCAUAAACAUCAUUCCUGCCUAUUGGUAUGUCUAUGUUUACUCUUUAUAGGAUUGCUAGUUCUGCUCUGAUUAUGAGUGACCAAUCCCCCUUGUCCGGGGUUUAUGAUGUAAUUGCCCAUUUGUACUCAUUUCCUUGUUCUUAAUGAAAUUUCUCAUAAUGUUUAUUUGGAA
Glycine soja is the source of this 1660-nucleotide long non-coding RNA. RefSeq lists it as uncharacterized. Lineage: Eukaryota; Viridiplantae; Streptophyta; Magnoliopsida; Fabales; Fabaceae. The transcript has 3 exons. The record is from RefSeq and is a predicted model, not a curated record.